AACGAACGCUGGCGGCAUGCCUAACACAUGCAAGUCGAACGAUGCCUUCGGGCAUAGUGGCGCACGGGUGCGUAACGCGUGGGAAUCUGCCUUUCGGUUCGGAAUAACUCAGGGGAACUUGAGCUAAUACCGGAUAACGUCGCAAGACCAAAGAUUUAUCACCGAAAGAUGAGCCCGCGUAGGAUUAGCUAGUUGGUGAGGUAAAGGCUCACCAAGGCGACGAUCCUUAGCUGGUCUGAGAGGAUGAUCAGCCACACUGGGACUGAGACACGGCCCAGACUCCUACGGGAGGCAGCAGUGGGGAAUAUUGGACAAUGGGCGAAAGCCUGAUCCAGCAAUGCCGCGUGAGUGAUGAAGGCCUUAGGGUUGUAAAGCUCUUUUACCCGGGAAGAUAAUGACGGUACCGGGAGAAUAAGCCCCGGCUAACUCCGUG
Molecule: ribosomal RNA, 433 nt
Filed under: uncultured bacterium
Lineage: Bacteria
Description: partial 16S ribosomal RNA
Rfam family: Bacterial small subunit ribosomal RNA
Source: RNAcentral